GGAUCCUGAGUACGACGGAGCACGUGAAAUUCCGUCGGAAUCUGGGAGGACCAUCUCCUAAGGCUAAAUACUCUCUAGUGACCGAUAGUGAACCAGUACCGUGAGGGAAAGGUGAAAAGCACCCCGGGAGGGGAGUGAAAUAGAACCUGAAACCGUGUGCUUACAAGUAGUCAGAGCCCGUUAAUGGGUGAUGGCGUGCCUUUUGUAGAAUGAACCGGCGAGUUACGAUUUGAUGCAAGGUUAAGCAGUAAAUGU
This 255-nucleotide ribosomal RNA is filed under the name Staphylococcus aureus. RNAcentral describes it as "partial 23S ribosomal RNA". It matches the Rfam family "Bacterial large subunit ribosomal RNA", at positions 403 to 661 of the family's 2925-position model. Lineage: Bacteria; Bacillati; Bacillota; Bacilli; Caryophanales; Staphylococcaceae. The record is from RNAcentral.